CGUUUACCCCCCCCCCCCUUCCCCCUCCCGCCUUUCUCUGUGCCCCACCCAACAAAUAAACCACAAGCAGUCGGCCAUUCUCUGUUCUCCGUGUUUAUUUUUCGCAGCCCGUGGGUGAGGGUGAUAGAUCGGGCCAUCGGGGCAAGGGGGGAAGGGAAGGGAAGGGAGAG
Molecule: unclassified non-coding RNA, 170 nt
Filed under: Macacine alphaherpesvirus 2
Lineage: Duplodnaviria; Heunggongvirae; Peploviricota; Herviviricetes; Herpesvirales; Orthoherpesviridae
Source: RNAcentral